GAGUUCUCAGUAUAUCAACAUAUCACCACAUGUGGGUGUUUACAAGGAGAUAAGGCAUCUGGCUCACAGACAAGUAAUGCUCCAUUCAGCAUCUGUUAUAGCAGAUAUAUAUAUUAUCCAUGAGACACAGUGCUGCACCUUUUGAAUGCUGUUAGAGAUGGUGAUCAUCUGAGUCCUAAGCACUGCACAGGUGCAGGGAGCCUGUUAAAGAGAGACCCCUGUGCCUAUUCUCCUUUUUCUGAUAUUCUUUGCGAAAAGUUGCGCGCGGGACAUUUGGUGCCGAGAACCCGGGACAAAAAGCCACAUCAUCGCCGGCGCUACGAGAAGCCUCCGUUUCACGGAAGAAAUCCAGAAGCUAAAUUCAUCAGCUCAUCCAAUUCAUAAAUUUCAAAGGAGAGAAAUACUUCCACCCAAGUCUAAGCAUAAAUGGAAGACUGUCAAAAUUCGUGAUGGGAAGAAACGUUCUUUCAGGGUGACAUCAAAUACCUCAGAAGGUUGUCAAGACUAUCUUCUGUGAUAUCAUCUUGACCACAGGAGUGAGCUUGUCAUCAUGUCAGUCACACUCUAUUAGGGACUUCCUCCAACCUGGAAACAGGUUGCUGUCCCUCAGGUCUUUGCCCACAGGGCAGUCAGCAGAGGUUGGGGACUACCUAGGAGAGAAUGCUGGACAAGAGACAUGAAAAAGGAUUCCAAGACAAGAGUCUGAUCAAGGCAACAACUUAUUUUUUCCCAAGGCUGAAUUUACCAUAUCAGUGGUAAAAGAGGGAAGUGGGAAGCAUGUACACAAGCCAAGGACAUAGUACAUUUGUGGUAAGCAGAUGUCACCAGGAUGUUAGUUUUUCACAAAGGUCACAGGUUUGUCAUAUCAUCAGUCAGUGAGAUGUUGGUUUCUCAGAAAGGUCACAGGUUUGUCAUAUCAUUAGUCAGCAGGAUGUUGGUUUCUCAGAAAGGUCACAGUUUUGUCAUAUCACUGGGCAUCCUGACCACCAGAUUUGUAUUAGUCUUCUGCAGCUGGCUGGGUAUUUUCCAUGAACCCAGUCAUACUUAACUAACUAUACUAUUAACGCCAAUAAUAGAGGGUUACAAGGGCAUCACUCCCAACAUCUCCCUCUUCCUUAUGGUCAAAUGAAAAGGUGACCAAUGGCUGCGCUGUCCUGAAAUGAGCCCCUCAGGAACUGUGUCUGUCUUAGGUUCGAGCGAUAUUUGUCACAUGGCCAAGAGAAUCUCGUGGACAGGGCCAGUUAUGGGAUAAGGCAGCGGCUAAUGGUGGCCCUCCUGUAUUAGGCCCUUUAUUCACGAAUAUAUCCCUCUCUUACCUGUCAUUGACUGUCAAGAUCCGCUCACAGGGGUUAUGAUUCAUUGAUGUUUCACCAAAGGCAUCAGGACAGCAGGCAGAAAAGAAUGUUGGCUUCAUUUGGCUCAAGGACAAAAAGAUCGUUGCCUGGGCUGGGAGGGGAUGUGUAGGUGAGCUUGGCCCUCACCAAAGGCAUUCUCCAUAGCUAGCCUAUAAAAAUAUACCUGAAUAGGUUUUGCUGCUAUAUUAUCUACAUGUUGUUUAAUAAAGCUGGUUAAAUGAUUAAA
Molecule: non-coding RNA, 1581 nt
Organism: Rattus norvegicus (Norway rat)
Lineage: Eukaryota; Metazoa; Chordata; Mammalia; Rodentia; Muridae
Source: RefSeq, a predicted model, not a curated record